Long non-coding RNA from Cebus imitator (Panamanian white-faced capuchin), 1066 nucleotides. RefSeq lists it as uncharacterized. The record is from RefSeq and is a predicted model, not a curated record. Lineage: Eukaryota; Metazoa; Chordata; Mammalia; Primates; Cebidae. The transcript has 3 exons.
GUUGUGGGAAGAACCUCUGUUGUCCCAGCUGGAAACUUAAGCAUCAGGAAAUGCAUUUCUGUGUGUUCCCAGCCGGCUGAAAAGUCAAGCACACUAAGGACAAGGCAAUCCCCAAUGCCCUGCCCCAAUCUGGCUUUUCCCCUUCCCCGCCUGCUGCUCCAGGUUUUCUGGCUUUCUCAUUCUCCUCUCUUUCUCCCAGGGCGAGCCCAGAGGGUGUUUGUUUAAAGAACCUUUCACUAGCAUUCCUUCCCAGUCAUUCUCUCAGCUUUUCACUUUGCAUUAUGCCCAGAGCCCUAGAUGCAGUCUCCUUCCCCAGCCAGGCCGCUUUCAAAAACUAACCUCUGUUUUACAUGGGUCCCAUAACCCAUUUGCCUCCAAAAAAACCCUGUAACAUUGCAGAGAACCCUAAAGCCUCCUUGGACCCCUAAAAAUCCAUGUCUACCCUCUUCAAUUCCCCAAUAGAACAGGAGUCCCUCCUUAUCCUCUGAGAUACAUUCCAAGACCCCCAGUGGCUGCCUGAAAUCACGGUCAACAGCAAACCCUACAUACCGUAGAAAAGCCAUAAACCUGAAGUUACUAAGGUCUGGCUCCAGGAAAUCCUGAAUCCAAGAAGAAUGCUCAGCAGGACAGAAUUGAAGACAACAGUUCAUCAUCUUUCCUUCCCAGGAUCGAGAAUAUCCCAAGGAAAUGCCAAGUAAAAAAGUAAAAUCAGCGAUUGAUUUUGCGUUUGGAGAACUGACCAAGUUUCUUCAUCAAAUGCCGAUUGCAAGUCUGAGUCAAGGUUGAGCAUAUAUAAAGGAAUCCUCCCGGGUACCUCCCCUUGGGGUCUUCACAAGAUGUGAUUUUGAAAAACCAGACUCGGGCGAUCAGAGACCUCACUGCGGAGGAAACGAAGGAUGCCUCACUUCCAAAACCUGCCUCCUGCAAACACUCCCUCGGGUCCCUGCUGGCGCCAGGCUGGGACCGAGAGAGCUUCCUGUCCCGCUGACCACAGAGGUUAAACAGAAUCUCCACUCCCGGAUUGAGGAAAGAAAGGCGUCUUCCCCGAUGAUUUUCGCGAGGCUGC